RNAcentral lists this long non-coding RNA (1232 nucleotides) under Olea europaea subsp. europaea. The record is from RNAcentral. Lineage: Eukaryota; Viridiplantae; Streptophyta; Magnoliopsida; Lamiales; Oleaceae.
CCCGACCAUGUUUAUCAUUAAUAGUUUCUUGAGAAUUAUAAACGUUCCCCUUCGGGAUCUUUACAAAAACCAACAAGAAUAAUAAUCCAAUGCUCACAAUCCUAUGUCCGAUAAAGAAUACAUCUUGUCUAUCAACUAGCAUGUCUUUCUACCCUUCUCAGCCAACCAAUUAAACAAUGCCAAAAAGUGAUGGAAAAAAAUAAAAAAUAAAAGCCAACUACGAGGAUUUUGCUUUACGGAGUAAAAUAUUGAACAGAUAUUGUCAUCUUUGUGUAGAGAGACGAGUCUUGAUUGGUUUUAACUUGAGUCCCAUAUUUUCUGGAGAGAGAAGCUCGGGUGCUAUGCAAGAAAGAGGACUCCUUGGGCUCCCACUAAUCUUAACCCGUCGAUACAGACCAUAUCCCAUGAGAAAAUACUCCAUCGGUAUUAACAUUGCGUGUGGCUGCUCCUCCGUCACCAUUGAUCCACAAGCCUGUACCUGUUCACAACAAUUAUUUCAAUUAACUAAUUGACGGGACCCAGGAAUAGUCGAAGCCAUACCCAAUCGAAAAGGAUGUUAUCCAAGCGCAUUUUGGAGAUGUAUGCACAAGAUAAAGUAAAGUAGUAGUGGAGAAAGGAAAGAAUAGAAAAAAAUCUACACUCUAGGGAUGAGAAACAUAGAAUUGGCAUUUAGUGAGCAGUAUCAGACAUUACGGGGCACUAUAGAAUUUAGCUUUUUUUUCUUUCUUAAUAUGGUGUAGUGCAGUAAAGUCCAUCUUACCUAACAAGUUAUUAAUGGAAUGCAUCUAGUUCUCUAAUGCAGAAGCUGUUAGCUUGAUACCCAUUCUUCGAGUAGUGUUCUGUAAAAUCACAUUAUGAUUUGACGUUCGUUUAUUUGCGUGUUAUAAUUUGAAGUGAUUGUCUAAGGUUCUAUGAUCACAUAGGAUGUCACAAAUUGUAUACUCAAUGGAUCGAGUAUAGUAACACACAAUUUGUGAUGUGAUCAAAACUAUGUCGUUCACAAUCGGUUCAUAAAGUUGGACGCUUUAUGUUAAUAAAAUUGUAUUGUUCUUAUUAAGAUUUGUCUAGAUCUUGAAAUAUGAACAAUAAUGUGUUUCGAUGCACAUUGAACGGGACCGUGUAGAUGAUUCAUUUGUGACCGUUUUAAAUGAGACUCUACUUGAUUAUCAAAUAGGUCACAUAAAUCCUAAGUGAUUAAUGUACCUUUGAUUGUUAGUUCAAGUUCUUUGAGG